UUUGGAGAUUGACUUAGAAGC
Molecule: microRNA, 21 nt
Filed under: Brachypodium distachyon (stiff brome)
Lineage: Eukaryota; Viridiplantae; Streptophyta; Magnoliopsida; Poales; Poaceae
Description: bdi-miR5185l-3p
Source: miRBase by way of RNAcentral